CCUACGGGCGGCAGCAGUGAGGAAUAUUGGUCAAUGGUCGGGAGACUGAACCAGCCAAGCCGCGUGAGGGAUGAAGGUACAGAGUAUCGUAAACCUCUUUUGUCAGGGAACAAAGGCGGGGACGUGUCCCCGGAUGAGUGUACCUGAAGAAAAAGCAUCGGCUAACUCCGUGCCAGCAGCCGCGGUAAUACGGAGGAUGCGAGCGUUAUCCGGAUUUAUUGGGUUUAAAGGGUGCACAGGCGGUCUGUUAAGUCAGCGGUCAAAGCCCGUGGCUCAACCCCGGCCCGCCGUUGAAACUGGCAGUCGCGAGUUGGAGAGAAGUAUGCGGAAUGCGCGGUGUAGCGGUGAAAUGCAUAGAUAUCGCGCAGAACUCCGAUUGCGAAGGCAGCAUGCCGGCUCCACACUGACGCUGAGGCACGAAAGCGUGGGUAUCGAACAGGAUUAGAUACCCCUGUAGUC
This 459-nucleotide ribosomal RNA is filed under the name uncultured bacterium. Its description in RNAcentral is "partial 16S ribosomal RNA". It matches the Rfam family "Bacterial small subunit ribosomal RNA", at positions 338 to 795 of the family's 1533-position model. The record is from RNAcentral.